GGAGGCGUCGGAUAGAGGUUUAUUCCACCUGUCUUGAAAACAGGAGUGUCGCAAGGCACCGUGAGUUCGAAUCUCACCGCCUCCGCCC
This 88-nucleotide transfer RNA is filed under the name Candidatus Nomurabacteria bacterium RIFCSPHIGHO2_01_FULL_40_20. RNAcentral's name for it is "tRNA-Ser". It matches the Rfam family "tRNA". Rfam says of the family: Transfer RNA (tRNA) molecules are approximately 80 nucleotides in length. Their secondary structure includes four short double-helical elements and three loops (D, anti-codon, and T loops). Further hydrogen bonds mediate the characteristic L-shaped molecular structure. tRNAs have two regions of fundamental functional importance: the anti-codon, which is responsible for specific mRNA codon recognition, and the 3' end, to which the tRNAs corresponding amino acid is attached (by aminoacyl-tRNA synthetases). tRNAs cope with the degeneracy of the genetic code in two manners: having more than one tRNA (with a specific anti-codon) for a particular amino acid; and 'wobble' base-pairing, i.e. permitting non-standard base-pairing at the 3rd anti-codon position. Lineage: Bacteria; Candidatus Nomuraibacteriota. The record is from RNAcentral. RNAcentral also lists the same sequence under 1 other name.